This 551-nucleotide ribosomal RNA is filed under the name uncultured bacterium. RNAcentral's name for it is "partial 16S ribosomal RNA". It matches the Rfam family "Bacterial small subunit ribosomal RNA", at positions 355 to 920 of the family's 1533-position model. The record is from RNAcentral.
UGGGGAAUAUUGCACAAUGGGCGAAAGCCUGAUGCAGCAACGCCGCGUGAGUGAUGAGGGUCUUCGGAUUGUAAAGCUCUGUCUUUUGGGACGAUAAUGACGGUACCAAAGGAGGAAGCCACGGCUAACUACGUGCCAGCAGCCGCGGUAAUACGUAGGUGGCGAGCGUUGUCCGGAUUUACUGGGCGUAAAGGGUGCGUAGGCGGAUGUUUAAGUGAGAUGUGAAAUACCCGGGCUUAACUUGGGUGCUGCAUUUCAAACUGGAUAUCUAGAGUGCAGGAGAGGAGAAUGGAAUUCCUAGUGUAGCGGUGAAAUGCGUAGAGAUUAGGAAGAACACCAGUGGCGAAGGCGAUUCUCUGGACUGUAACUGACGCUGAGGCACGAAAGCGUGGGUAGCAAACAGGAUUAGAUACCCUGGUAGUCCACGCCGUAAACGAUGAGUACUAGGUGUAGGAGGUAUCGACCCCUUCUGUGCCGCAGUAAACACAUUAAGUACUCCGCCUGGGAAGUACGAUCGCAAGAUUAAAACUCUAAAGUGAAUUGACGGGGUC